RNAcentral lists this ribosomal RNA (432 nucleotides) under uncultured bacterium. RNAcentral's name for it is "partial 16S ribosomal RNA". It matches the Rfam family "Bacterial small subunit ribosomal RNA", at positions 338 to 795 of the family's 1533-position model. The record is from RNAcentral.
CCUACGGGUGGCAGCAGUCGAGAAUUUUUCUCAAUGGGCGAAAGCCUGAAGGAGCGACGCCGCGUGGGGGAUGAAUGGCUUCGGCCCGUAAACCCCUGUCAUUUGCGAACUUGUAGCGAAAGAGGAAGGGACGGCUAACUCUGUGCCAGCAGCCGCGGUAAUACAGAGGUCCCAAGCGUUGUUCGGAUUCACUGGGCGUAAAGGGUGCGUAGGUGGUAAGGCAAGUCAGGUGUGAAAUCUCCGGGCUCAACCCGGAAAUGGCAUUCGAAACUACCUUGCUAGAGGGUUUGAGGGGGGACUGGAAUACUUGGUGUAGCAGUGAAAUGCGUAGAUAUCAAGUGGAACACCAGUGGCGAAGGCGAGUCCCUGGAAAACCCUGACACUGAGGCACGAAAGCUAGGGGAGCAAACAGGAUUAGAUACCCUUGUAGUC